GUGGAGCCUGGCGACUGCUUUGGGAAGUCCUGCUGGCAGGCACUCUGCCCCUGGGGGUGUGCAAAGAGUUGUCCAGUUACCUUGAUCUUCUCACAGCCUCCUCCCCAGGGCACCGGCAGAGACCAGGAUUGGAGGACGGUAAAGAACACACUUCCCAGAGGAUUCUUGGAGGUGGCUUCCUCCAGGCAGGAAAUCUACAGCCCAGGCUCCCUGCAUCUUAUGGCUCCAAUCACUUUGGAUCUCAUCGUCGCCUGCACCUUGCCAUACACAGGGAAGGAGAAGAGAUAGAGAAGGCAAAAACUUUCUGAAAGCCGUGGCUAAAAGCUGGCAUGUGUCACAUCAGUUCACAUUCCAUUGUGGAGACGGGGUUUCACCGUGUUAGCCAGGAUGGUCUUGAUCUCCUGACCUCGUGAUCCGCCCGCCUUGGCCUCCCAAAGUGCUAGGAUUACAGGCGUGAGCCACCGCUCCCGGCCUGGCAGGCAUUCUUGAGGCAAACGGGAAAUGGGGUAAGUUACACAAUCGAUACAGCUCCGUCGUCGCGGUUUAAUCACUUUUCCACGUACCAUGUUUCCUGACAGGUAGAACGAUCGGCCUGGGCCUCCGUUUUUCAUUCUACAAAGAAUGAAGUGCAUGAACUGUCCUCUAUAGAAUUGUGGAAAAAGUUGUUUUUAUUGAGUUGUGGUUAUCUUUGUCUUCAUGGUCUAAUUACGGAAAUAAAUGCUUUUCCGAGUCUCCAAGGAUGGCCUGCCCUAGUCCAGCUCUCUGCAGUGUCUUUCUGGGUUUUUCCUCAGUGAACGGGAGGAACAUUGGCAGCACUUGUGGUCUGCACCAAGAACUGAAUCGAAUUUCCAUGUGUUACUGAAUGUUCACAAAGACCUUGUACAGCGAGUGUUACUACCUCUGGUCAGUGAUUCAUCUCAAGGCUCAGAAAAGUCAAGUGUCUUGUCCAGGGACACUUAGUCAGAAGUGAAUCCAAGGUUUAAGCUCAAGUCUGCCUAACUCUGAAUUUCACAGCCUUUUGCUACAUAUGGCGAAUAAUAUAUCCCUGAGCACUAAAGGCAGACUCCAAGGAUCUUUUCUCUGCAAUCAUCAUUCUGGCCAUAAUUUAUGAAAAGCAACCCAAAGUAUGUGAUGUCAUAAAAAGUACUAUCUAUGAGUUUACCCUUCCAAAAAUUGAACUGAAUUCUGAGCUCUAAAUUUGGAAUCAAAAGAACUUUUCUCUGCACUAAUCAUUUGGAACAUCACUUAAAGAAAACAACGAAAAACUGGUGUCCCCUGAGAGAAAGCAAUACAAAGCAUUAUGCAUAAAGAAAUCCUUCCAAAAAAUAAACCAAAUCCAGUCAAAUCUCUAGUUUUGACUCCUAGCUUACCGGAAAUACGUGAUGGGAAAAAAAUGAAAUGACACCACUAUGAUUCAAUCAGCCAAAUCCAGCAUAUGCAAGUUUCUACCAGAUAAAUGGUUUAGUUUCUUCCCCAGACAAAUGGCACAAGGAAACGGAGAUGGAGUUCCCCUCUGCCACCCAGACUGGAGUACAGUGGCACGAUCCUGGCCAUUGUAACCUCCACCUCCCAGAUCCCUCCUACAACACAUGAGAAUUGUGGGUGCUACAAUUCAAGAUGAGAUUUGAGUGGGGACAAAGUCAAACCAUAUCAUUAGAUAAGACACUGGAGAAAGGCAAGAAAGAAAAGACAUCUGAAGAAUGAAGGGAGCCAAAGAAAUGCCAACAUUUUGCUUUUUGAAGAAAAGCUAAAUUAAAGUCAAAAUGGAUUUAUCAAUUUCCUUGGGUUCGUGAAUGUACAGAACUUUAUUAAGACUGUCAUGCUGUCAUCAUGGCUGGAUCUGAUACGGCCACCGUGGACCUUGAGGUGACCUCGGGAAUGGAGACAGUGCAUGGGAGAGAAUCACAUUGGAAGGGGCCUGGGUUUCUGAAGACCCUGUAAGACAGAUCUCCUUGCAGCCCUGACUGCCCACAUUAGGGCUUUUAUGUUAGGGUGAAGUUACCUUGCAUUGUCAUAUAAGCAAUUGCUAUCUGUGGUGUCUUGCAAAUAAACCUAUUCUGAUCUAGUAUGUUUCCUAA
Molecule: long non-coding RNA, 2078 nt
Filed under: Pan troglodytes (chimpanzee)
Lineage: Eukaryota; Metazoa; Chordata; Mammalia; Primates; Hominidae
Description: lincRNA
Source: RNAcentral